This 497-nucleotide ribosomal RNA is filed under the name uncultured bacterium. RNAcentral describes it as "partial 16S ribosomal RNA". It matches the Rfam family "Bacterial small subunit ribosomal RNA", at positions 28 to 507 of the family's 1533-position model. The record is from RNAcentral.
GAUGAACGCUGGCGGCGUGCCUAAUACAUGCAAGUCGAGCGAACAGAUGAGGAGCUUGCUCCUCUGCCGUUAGCGGCGGACGGGUGAGUAACACGUGGAUAACCUACCUAUAAGACUGGGAUAACUUCGGGACACCGGAGCUCAUACCGGAUAAUAUAUUGAACCGCAUGGUUCAAUAGUGAAAGACGGUUUUGCUGUCACUUAUAGAUGGAUCCGCGCCUCAUUAGCUAGUUGGUAAGGUAACGGCUUACCAAGGACACGAUGCGUAACCGACCUGAGAGGGUCGUCCGCCACACGGGAACUGAGACACGGUCCAGACUCCGACGGUGGGCAGCAGCAGGGAAUCUUCCGCGAUGGGGGAAAGCCUGACGGUGCAACGCCGCGUGAGUGAUGAAGGUCUUCGGAUCGUAAAACUCUGUUAUUAGUGAAGAACAAAUGUGUAAGUAACUAUGCACGUCUUGACGGUACCUAAUCAGAAAGCCACGGCUAACUACGUG